CCUACGGGAGGCUGCAGUGAGGAAUAUUGGUCAAUGGACGAGAGUCUGAACCAGCCAAGUAGCGUGAAGGAUGACUGCCCUAUGGGUUGUAAACUUCUUUUAUAAAGGAAUAAAACGAGGCACGUGUGCCUUUUUGCAUGGACUUUAUGAAUAAGGAUCGGCUAACUCCGUGCCAGCAGCCGCGGUAAUACGGAGGAUCCGAGCGUUAUCCGGAUUUCUUGGGUUUAAAGGGAGCGUAGAUGGGUUGUUAAGUCAGUUGUGAAAGUUUGCGGCUCAACCGUAAAAUUGCAAUUGAUACUGGCAGUCUUGAGUACAGUUGAGGUAGGCGGAAUUCGUGGUGUAGCGGUGAAAUGCUUAGAUAUCACGAAGAACCCCGAUUGCGAAGGCAGCUUACUAAACUGUGACUGACAUUGAUGCUCGAAAGUGUGGGUAUCAAACAGGAUUAGAUACCCCAGUAGUC
This 460-nucleotide ribosomal RNA is filed under the name uncultured bacterium. RNAcentral describes it as "partial 16S ribosomal RNA". It matches the Rfam family "Bacterial small subunit ribosomal RNA", at positions 338 to 795 of the family's 1533-position model. The record is from RNAcentral.